This 382-nucleotide ribosomal RNA is filed under the name uncultured eukaryote. Its description in RNAcentral is "partial 18S ribosomal RNA". It matches the Rfam family "Eukaryotic small subunit ribosomal RNA", at positions 592 to 976 of the family's 1831-position model. The record is from RNAcentral.
UGUAAGCGUAUACCAAAAUUGUUGCAGUUAAAACGCUCGUAGUCGGAAUUUGGCAGUUCCGGAUGUGUGCACGUCGUGUGCGCACUUCGCGGGGAUUGCUUUUGUGGUCUUGCGUAGGAUGAGGCACUUUUAUUAGUGAACGUCCUCACGCAACCACUUUUUACUGUGAGAAAAUCAGAGUGCUCAAAGCAGGCAUUUGCCGUGAAUGUAUUAGCAUGGAAUAAUAGAAUAGGACUUGGUUCUAUUUUGUUGGUUUGUUGGGACUGAGUAAUGAUUAAGAGGGACAGUUGGGGGCAUUUGUAUUUCGGUGCUAGAGGUGAAAUUCUUAGAUUACCGAAAGACAAACUGCUGCGAAAGCGUCUGCCAAGGAUGUUUUCAUUGA